This 31-nucleotide non-coding RNA is filed under the name Homo sapiens (human). Lineage: Eukaryota; Metazoa; Chordata; Mammalia; Primates; Hominidae. The record is from RNAcentral.
UAAGCACUUUGUACCAUACUGGCUGAUGGUA